This is a long non-coding RNA of Branchiostoma floridae (Florida lancelet), 1449 nucleotides long. RefSeq lists it as uncharacterized. The transcript has 2 exons. The record is from RefSeq and is a predicted model, not a curated record. NCBI's taxonomy places the organism in Eukaryota, Metazoa, Chordata, Leptocardii, Amphioxiformes, Branchiostomatidae.
AGGUUACCAAUUGCGGCGUGGCAUUUGCUACAAGGCCUUCUACACACGGAAGACCUUCAUUGAUGCAGCCGCGACCUGUCGUCAAGAUGGUGGCACCCUCCCCAAGCCCAAAGACGCUGGAACCAACGCCUUCCUGGUCUCCCUAUACAAGUUCGCGGACGAUAUAAACAGUGCCAUCUGGUUGGCACUGCAGAGCCAGAAAGGGCGCUACAUGUGGGUGGAUGGUUCUCCUCUUGGAACGUUUUCCCCGUGGUACUAUUGGUUUCACCUAGCACAAGCUGCAGACCACAAGGAUGCCACAAAUUGCGCAGUUCUCGACAAAAGAGGGGAGUGGGUCGACCUGCCAUGUCACUGGGAAAGGGGCUUUAUCUGCCAGGUCAAAGGACGUCCAUAGCCGCCAGGCAGACAGACAGAUGUACAACGGAUCCUUGACAACUUGAAAGUCGACAACUCACAUUUAAAAUGAAAAGGUUAAAAUUCAAUCAAUGGGCUGAAGUUUUCAAAUCACUCGAAGACAUGAUCAUGACGCCCAAUUGACUGUACAAUCAUGAUGAGAAAUAACUACUUCCAACUGUACUGUUGUAACGGUGUACAAUGUAUUGGUAAUCACCAUAUUGUCGAGUCUUACAGAAAAUAUAAAGAGUGAAUAUUGUUUCUAUGGUUACGGCGAUCAAUGUGCAUACAGAAGUUGAACACACACCAUUGCCAGUUGACUAACCCUCUGCUGUAGUGCUUGUACGCGUUUUGAGUCCUUAGGAUUCUAAAAGUCAUAAUCGUACGGAAGAGGUAUGUGUACAUUAUCAUUUAUAAUUUUGUUCUGAGAUUUUUCUCAGAAUAGUUCUCAUUAGAAAGUAAUAAAAAUUAUUUCUUUUACUUAUUUAUACAUUUAAUUAGACAUCUUACUUAGACAACUAAUUUAGACAUCGUAUGUGAUUCUUCAGGGCUUAGAGUUUUUCAAAAAUAGUUGCAACAUUUUCAAAAUGGUAGAGUUGACAAUUGCCCUCAAAGGUAUGUAGCGAGUCCUGCUGUAUGGUCUGUUUCUGUAUAUUAACAAUUUUACGGCUGGAAGCCGGUAGUUCUUUUGUUAAAAGUCAUCUGUGUAGGACGUUCUGACAGACUUUCUUACCAGGAAACUAAUAACAAACUAUCUAAAAAUUGUUUGAAUCAUAAUAUUUUGAACAUGGACAAAUGGUAACUCGAGAAUGAAAUGUUUUGAAAGCAAAGUAUGCAUUUUAUAGAAAUGUUUUGAACAUACUGAAAAACGGAAAGAAAUAAGCAGAAAGUGUAACAAAGAUUCAAUAUCUUUAAAACAGUUACCUAUCUCUGAUUUCUAGAUGAAUCAUAUUUUGGUUUGAUAAAACAACAAACACCCAAGGGGUAAUGUAAAAUUGAAUUAAUUUUGACUGCAUUGCAUGCUUAUUUAGCCAAUAAAACUCAUGUAAAUUUCAA